RNAcentral lists this ribosomal RNA (464 nucleotides) under uncultured bacterium. Its description in RNAcentral is "bacterial SSU rRNA". It matches the Rfam family "Bacterial small subunit ribosomal RNA", at positions 330 to 792 of the family's 1533-position model. The record is from RNAcentral.
UCCAGACUCCUACGGGAGGCAGCAGUGAGGAAUAUUGGUCAAUGGUCGGGAGACUGAACCAGUCAAGCCGCGUGAGGGAUGAAGGUACAGAGUAUCGUAAACCUCUUUUGUCAGGGAACAAAGGCGGGGACGUGUCCCCGGAUGAGUGUACCUGAAGAAAAAGCAUCGGCUAACUCCGUGCCAGCAGCCGCGGUAAUACGGAGGAUGCGAGCGUUAUCCGGAUUUAUUGGGUUUAAAGGGUGCGUAGGCGGGCUCUUAAGUCAGCGGUAAAAAUUCGGGGCUCAACCCCGUCCGGCCGUUGAAACUGGGGGCCUUGAGUGGGCGAGAAGAAGGCGGAAUGCGUGGUGUAGCGGUGAAAUGCAUAGAUAUCACGCAGAACUCCGAUUGCGAAGGCAGCAUACCGGCGCGCAACUGACGCUCAUGCACGAAAGCGUGGGUAUCGAACAGGAUUAGAUACCCCGGUA